GAGGUCACUGCUAUCGGGGUUCGAUUAAGCCAUGCGAGUCGAGAGGGUUCGGCCCUCGGCGUACUGCUCAGUAACACGUGGAUAACCUGCCCUAAGGAAGGGAAUACCCCCGGGAAACUGGGGAUAAUGCCCUAUAGGUUACCGAUGCUGGAAUGCUCGGUAACCGAAAGUUCCGGCGCCUUAGGAUGGAUCUGCGGCCGAUUAGGUUGUUGUCGGGGUAACGGCCCAACAAGCCGAUAAUCGGUACGGGUUGUGGGAGCAAGAGCCCGGAGUUGGAUUCUGAGACACGAAUCCAGGCCCUACGGGGCGCAGCAGGCGCGAAAACUUUACAAUGCGGGCAAUCGUGAUAAGGAAACCCUGAGUGCCUGUCAAUGCAGGCUGUUCUGGUGUCUAACACACACCAGGAGAAAGGGCGGGGCAAGACCGGUGCCAGCCGCCGCGGUAAUACCGGCUGCUCGAGUGAUAGCCGCUUUUACUGGGCUUAAAGCGUUCGUAGCUUGGUCGUUAAGUCUCUGGGGAAAUCUUUUGGCUCAACCAAAAGGCGUCUCAGGGAAACUGGCGAUCUUG
This 567-nucleotide ribosomal RNA is filed under the name methanogenic archaeon CH84. RNAcentral's name for it is "bacterial SSU rRNA". It matches the Rfam family "Archaeal small subunit ribosomal RNA", at positions 20 to 595 of the family's 1478-position model. Lineage: Archaea; Methanobacteriati; Methanobacteriota; Methanomicrobia; Methanomicrobiales. The record is from RNAcentral.